Molecule: non-coding RNA, 1745 nt
Organism: Misgurnus anguillicaudatus (oriental weatherfish)
Lineage: Eukaryota; Metazoa; Chordata; Actinopteri; Cypriniformes; Cobitidae
Source: RefSeq, a predicted model, not a curated record
UUGGUCAAAAUGAGGGACAUGUACUGUAAGGAUGCUUUUACAUACUUCAUUAAUGUGUAUGAAAUUACUUACUUGACAAUGUGUAUAAAAACUGUACUUGACUCUAACUUAGUGCUAUUUUUGCAUUGAUCAUGAUAGGAGCAUUUUUCUUUAUUUUUUCUUUUUUUUGAUGGGCCAUCACACAGUGGAUUUAUAAAAAUGAGACUACAGAACAUCAGACGGAAGCUUCAAUGGAGUUGAUGUGAGAGGAACUCACCAAUAAAGAAUGCCAUUGACCAAACCUUCAGUCAUCAAAGAAGAUGGAUACAGGUGGACAUCGAGUUUUCCAGACUUACCGAUAGGAAAGAAGACAUGUUUAUCAGGAAAUGGGAGGUGACAAUUAUUGAGAAACUCAGGGAAAUAUCAUCUUUAGAGAAGAAAUGUAAUGUAAGAUAUUUAAUGUAAGAUAUAAAAGUAAUCCUUUUUAAAUAAUUUUUUCUCAUAAUUUAUAUUUUGCAUGUGACCUGCAUGUUUACCACACCCAGAUCUAUUGCUGUGUGAAUUCUGCUGUCUCAGACUGGGACUUGGUGGCGGCUGGUACCAGCAUGACCUCUUUGCUUACUAAAUGAUGAAAAGGUGUCUAAAAUCAGCUCAGCCACAGUUGGUUUCCAGCGGUUCUUCAGGACAUGAAUUCGCAAAUUUUUUCAAAUUUACUAGCUAAGUAACCUUAAGUAUCCCUGCCAACUGUCUUCAGUUUUUUUUUGGUAUGAAUAUGAUCUACCCUUGUCCCAGUCCUCUUGCAAACAAUCCAAGGCAAUGGAGUUUCAAAAUGGACCGCAAAAUUGCAGUCUGUUUUAACCAAUGCAUGCACUGUGUGGCGGUUUCCCGGACAGGGAUUAGACUAGUCCUAGACUAAAACAUUUUUAAGAGCUGUCCAAACUGAAAACAACUUGCACUGACAUAUCUUAAAAUACACCAGUGCCCUUUGUUUUGCCUCAAAAUGCACACAGGUAAUGUUUUUAGUAAGGCAUGUUUGUUAAAACCAGAUAUAUUUCCUAAUUAAUCUAAGGCCUAGUCCUGGAUUAAGAUAAUCCCUGUCCGGGAAACCACCCCUAAAUAUUUUGUGAUGGAAAUUUCUUUGAAUACACUUGUCAAGUUCAUUUGAAGUAUUUUUCUUAAUGUAAAAUAACGUGUUAAUGUUUCAGGACAAGGUAAGAAUUUUUGAUAACUUGCAUGUUGAAAACGAUUUCAGACAUUGUUUCAACAUGUUUAACACAGUUGCUUUUAAAUUCAAUGAAUUAUUUUAUAAAUGGUGUUUUUUAUGUAUAAAUGUAAUGUAUGUUUGAAGUGAUUAUACUUGCACUUAAAUUUAUUUAAAUUAGCAUACAUCUUGCAACAUACAGUACUAGCAUAUUUUCAUGCUAGCAUUAAUUGUCAAAUAUUUAUUAUUUUACAAAUAAAUCGUUUGUGAACAAUAUUUAAUAGUUGUCUGCUUGAUUUCAUUAUUUAAAGUUUACAAAUCGUAUGUUUUUUUUCUCUUUUAUAUUAAAACUAAACAAUUACUGGGUAACACACAGUUGUGUUAAAUUAAUAGAAAGUUACACAUUAAUGUGUUUACUGAAGCAACACAUUUUUUGUGUUGCAUUUUAUAACACAUAUUCUGUGUUAAAUUUAACUCAACAUGUGUUGUCCCUGCGCACACUCAGAACAUGUGUAAAAAAUAACACAUGUUGUGUUGUUUUUAACACAUUUGUUUUAAGAGUGUA